AUGGACGCGCUGGAUGGCACGCAAGUGAUUGCCUGCGGAAACCGGGAGCAGUCGCCGGCCAGCAAGCAGCAACACGCCCAGCCGCCGCGGAUCUACGCGGGGGCCAGCGCGGGCGGAGCCGGUGGAGGUCCAGCCAAGAAGCGGCAGCAACUCCAAGAAGGCGGGCCCCAAGAAGACGGUGAAGCGCCCGAGUUCCCGCCGGAUCUCCGCCCGGCACGCCCAGAUCCGGCGCCGCGGGGCCGGAUCUCGGGCCGGCCGGAGGCGGGCGCACAGCAAGAUCCAGCAAGGUACCAAGAGAAAGAGAGAGAGAGAGAGGUUGGUUACCGUGGCGAGCGAGCGAGCGAGCGAGCUCGGAGGAGGCUGAGACGGGCGACGGGAGGGGAGGACGGAGGAGAGGAGAUGCGAUCGGAGGAGGAGGAGGGGGAAGGUGGUGGUGGUGGUGGGGGAGGCGCUGGCUAUAACUGCUGCCGCUCUGGACUGGAUCUCGCUCGCAGACGCACACACACUGCUGUCGGCCUGCUGACGCGGAGCCACAAGCAGAAAUUCCUACCCUUUUCCUCUCCCCAUCCAUCCAUUCUUUGA
This 582-nucleotide ribosomal RNA is filed under the name Triticum aestivum (bread wheat). RNAcentral describes it as "partial small subunit ribosomal RNA". The record is from RNAcentral. Lineage: Eukaryota; Viridiplantae; Streptophyta; Magnoliopsida; Poales; Poaceae.